GACGAACGCUGGCGGCGCGCUUAAUACAUGCAAGUCGAGCGAGAACCAGGGCUUCGGCCCUGGGGACAGCGGCGAACGGGUGAGUAACACGCGGGUAAUCAACCCCCGACACCGGGAUAGCCCAGGGAAACUUGGAUUAAUACCGGAUGCCCCAUCUGGCUUUCGAGCCGACUGGAAAAGGGUAGCUUCGGCCUCCGGUCGGGGACGAGCCCGCGGCGGAUUAGCUUGUUGGUGAGGGAAAGGCUCACCAAGGCGACGAUCCGUAGCUGGUCUGAGAGGACGAUCAGCCACACUGGGACUGAGACACGGCCCAGACUCCUACGGGAGGCAGCAGUAGGGAAUCUUGCGCAAUGGGCGAAAGCCUGACGCAGCGACGCCGCGUGAGGGAAGAAGGCCUUCGGGUUGUAACCCUCUUUCAGGAGGGACGAAGCCACUCGGGUUAAUAGCCUAGAGGGUGACGGUACCUCCAGAAGAAGCCCCGGCUAACUACGUGCCAGCCGCCGCAGUAA
RNAcentral lists this ribosomal RNA (509 nucleotides) under uncultured bacterium. RNAcentral's name for it is "partial 16S ribosomal RNA". It matches the Rfam family "Bacterial small subunit ribosomal RNA", at positions 28 to 523 of the family's 1533-position model. The record is from RNAcentral.